AUUGAACGCUGGCGGCAUGCCUUACACAUGCAAGUCNAACGGCAGCACGGGAGCUUGCUCCUGGUGGCGAGUGGCGAACGGGUGAGUAAUAUAUCGGAACGUACCCUAGAGUGGGGGAUAACGCAGCGAAAGUUGCGCUAAUACCGCAUACGAUCUACGGAUGAAAGUGGGGGAUCGCAAGACCUCAUGCUCAUGGAGCGGCCGAUAUCUGAUUAGCUAGUUGGUGGGGUAAAGGCCUACCAAGGCAUCGAUCAGUAGCUGGUCUGAGAGGACGACCAGCCACACUGGAACUGAGACACGGUCCAGACUCCUACGGGAGGCAGCAGUGGGGAAUUUUGGACAAUGGGCGCAAGCCUGAUCCAGCAAUGCCGCGUGAGUGAAGAAGGCCUUCGGGUUGUAAAGCUCUUUUGUCAGGGAAGAAACGGUGAGGGCUAAUAUCCUUUGCUAAUGACGGUACCUGAAGAAUAAGCACCGGCUAACUACGUGCCAGCAGCCGCGGUAAUACGUAGGGUGCAAGCGUUAAUCGGAAUUACUGGGCGUAAAGCGUGCGCAGGCGGUUAUGUAAGUCAGAUGUGAAAUCCCCGGGCUCAACCUGGGAAUGGCAUUUGAGACUGCAUGGCUAGAGUGUGUCAGAGGGGGGUAGAAUUCCACGUGUAGCAGUGAAAUGCGUAGAGAUGUGGAGGAAUACCGAUGGCGAAGGCAGCCCCCUGGGAUAACACUGACGCUCAUGCACGAAAGCGUGGGGAGCAAACAGGAUUAGAUACCCUGGUAGUCCACGCCCUAAACGAUGUCUACUAGUUGUCGGGACUUAAUUGUCUUGGUAACGCAGCUAACGCGUGAAGUAGACCGCCUGGGGAGUACGGUCGCAAGAUUAAAACUCAAAGGAAUUGACGGGGACCCGCACAAGCGGUGGAUGAUGUGGAUUAAUUCGAUGCAACGCGAAAAACCUUACCUACCCUUGAC
Molecule: ribosomal RNA, 963 nt
Filed under: uncultured bacterium
Lineage: Bacteria
Description: bacterial SSU rRNA
Rfam family: Bacterial small subunit ribosomal RNA
Source: RNAcentral